GGGUUGUGAGGUUAAGCGACUAAGCGUACACGGUGGAUGCCCUGGCAGUCAGAGGCGAUGAAGGACGUGCUAAUCUGCGAUAAGCGUCGGUAAGGUGAUAUGAACCGUUAUAACCGGCGAUUUCCGAAUGGGGAAACCCAGUGUGUUUCGACACACUAUCAUUAACUGAAUCCAUAGGUUAAUGAGGCGAACCGGGGGAACUGAAACAUCUAAGUACCCCGAGGAAAAGAAAUCAACCGAGAUUCCCCCAGUAGCGGCGAGCGAACGGGGAGGAGCCCAGAGCCUGAAUCAGUGUGUGUGUUAGUGGAAGCGUCUGGAAAGGCGCGCGAUACAGGGUGACAGCCCCGUACACAAAAAUGCACAUGCUGUGAGCUCGAUGAGUAGGGCGGGACACGUGGUAUCCUGUCUGAAUAUGGGGGGACCAUCCUCCAAGGCUAAAUACUCCUGACUGACCGAUAGUGAACCAGUACCGUGAGGGAAAGGCGAAAAGAACCCCGGCGAGGGGAGUGAAAAAGAACCUGAAACCGUGUACGUACAAGCAGUGGGAGCACGCUUAGGCGUGUGACUGCGUACCUUUUGUAUAAUGGGUCAGCGACUUAUAUUCUGUAGCAAGGUUAACCGAAUAGGGGAGCCGAAGGGAAACCGAGUCUUAACUGGGCGUUAAGUUGCAGGGUAUAGACCCGAAACCCGGUGAUCUAGCCAUGGGCAGGUUGAAGGUUGGGUAACACUAACUGGAGGACCGAACCGACUAAUGUUGAAAAAUUAGCGGAUGACUUGUGGCUGGGGGUGAAAGGCCAAUCAAACCGGGAGAUAGCUGGUUCUCCCCGAAAGCUAUUUAGGUAGCGCCUCGUGAAUUCAUCUCCGGGGGUAGAGCACUGUUUCGGCAAGGGGGUCAUCCCGACUUACCAACCCGAUGCAAACUGCGAAUACCGGAGAAUGUUAUCACGGGAGACACACGGCGGGUGCUAACGUCCGUCGUGAAGAGGGAAACAACCCAGACCGCCAGCUAAGGUCCCAAAGUCAUGGUUAAGUGGGAAACGAUGUGGGAAGGCCCAGACAGCCAGGAUGUUGGCUUAGAAGCAGCCAUCAUUUAAAGAAAGCGUAAUAGCUCACUGGUCGAGUCGGCCUGCGCGGAAGAUGUAACGGGGCUAAACCAUGCACCGAAGCUGCGGCAGCGACGCUUAUGCGUUGUUGGGUAGGGGAGCGUUCUGUAAGCCUGUGAAGGUGUGCUGUGAGGCAUGCUGGAGGUAUCAGAAGUGCGAAUGCUGACAUAAGUAACGAUAAAGCGGGUGAAAAGCCCGCUCGCCGGAAGACCAAGGGUUCCUGUCCAACGUUAAUCGGGCAGGGUGAGUCGACCCCUAAGGCGAGGCCGAAAGGCGUAGUCGAUGGGAAACAGGUUAAUAUUCCUGUACUUGGUGUUACUGCGAAGGGGGGACGGAGAAGGCUAUGUUGGCCGGGCGACGGUUGUCCCGGUUUAAGCGUGUAGGCUGGUUUUCCAGGCAAAUCCGGAAAAUCAAGGCUGAGGCGUGAUGACGAGGCACUACGGUGCUGAAGCAACAAAUGCCCUGCUUCCAGGAAAAGCCUCUAAGCAUCAGGUAACAUCAAAUCGUACCCCAAACCGACACAGGUGGUCAGGUAGAGAAUACCAAGGCGCUUGAGAGAACUCGGGUGAAGGAACUAGGCAAAAUGGUGCCGUAACUUCGGGAGAAGGCACGCUGAUAUGUAGGUGAAGUCCCUCGCGGAUGGAGCUGAAAUCAGUCGAAGAUACCAGCUGGCUGCAACUGUUUAUUAAAAACACAGCACUGUGCAAACACGAAAGUGGACGUAUACGGUGUGACGCCUGCCCGGUGCCGGAAGGUUAAUUGAUGGGGUCAGCGCAAGCGAAGCUCUUGAUCGAAGCCCCGGUAAACGGCGGCCGUAACUAUAACGGUCCUAAGGUAGCGAAAUUCCUUGUCGGGUAAGUUCCGACCUGCACGAAUGGCGUAAUGAUGGCCAGGCUGUCUCCACCCGAGACUCAGUGAAAUUGAACUCGCUGUGAAGAUGCAGUGUACCCGCGGCAAGACGGAAAGACCCCGUGAACCUUUACUAUAGCUUGACACUGAACAUUGAGCCUUGAUGUGUAGGAUAGGUGGGAGGCUUAGAAGUGUGGACGCCAGUCUGCAUGGAGCCGACCUUGAAAUACCACCCUUUAAUGUUUGAUGUUCUAACGUUGACCCGUAAUCCGGGUUGCGGACAGUGUCUGGUGGGUAGUUUGACUGGGGCGGUCUCCUCCUAAAGAGUAACGGAGGAGCACGAAGGUUGGCUAAUCCUGGUCGGACAUCAGGAGGUUAGUGCAAUGGCAUAAGCCAGCUUGACUGCGAGCGUGACGGCGCGAGCAGGUGCGAAAGCAGGUCAUAGUGAUCCGGUGGUUCUGAAUGGAAGGGCCAUCGCUCAACGGAUAAAAGGUACUCCGGGGAUAACAGGCUGAUACCGCCCAAGAGUUCAUAUCGACGGCGGUGUUUGGCACCUCGAUGUCGGCUCAUCACAUCCUGGGGCUGAAGUAGGUCCCAAGGGUAUGGCUGUUCGCCAUUUAAAGUGGUACGCGAGCUGGGUUUAGAACGUCGUGAGACAGUUCGGUCCCUAUCUGCCGUGGGCGCUGGAGAACUGAGGGGGCUGCUCCUAGUACGAGAGGACCGGAGUGGACGCAUCACUGGUGUUCGGGUUGUCAUGCCAAUGGCACUGCCCGGUAGCUAAAUGCGGAAGAGAUAAGUGCUGAAAGCAUCUAAGCACGAAACUUGCCCCGAGAUGAGUUCUCCCUGACCCUUUAAGGGUCCUGAAGGAACGUUGAAGACGACGACGUUGAUAGGCCGGGUGUGUAAGCGCAGCGAUGCGUUGAGCUAACCGGUACUAAUGAACCGUGAGGCUUAACCUUACAACGCCGAAGGUGUUU
This 2929-nucleotide ribosomal RNA is filed under the name Escherichia coli. RNAcentral's name for it is "bacterial LSU rRNA". It matches the Rfam family "Bacterial large subunit ribosomal RNA". The record is from RNAcentral. Lineage: Bacteria; Pseudomonadati; Pseudomonadota; Gammaproteobacteria; Enterobacterales; Enterobacteriaceae.